GCCUGCGUAGCUCAGCUGGUUAGAGCAUGGUGCUGAAAAUGCCAAGGUUGCAGGUUCGAUCUUCCUCUGGGACA
Molecule: transfer RNA, 74 nt
Filed under: Podarcis lilfordi (Lilford's wall lizard)
Lineage: Eukaryota; Metazoa; Chordata; Lepidosauria; Squamata; Lacertidae
Description: tRNA.Phe
Rfam family: tRNA
About the family: Transfer RNA (tRNA) molecules are approximately 80 nucleotides in length. Their secondary structure includes four short double-helical elements and three loops (D, anti-codon, and T loops).
Source: RNAcentral